AGCGACUGUGCAGGUUACCGCGGCUGCUGGCACGGAGUUAGCCGGUGCUUCUUCUGUGAGUGAUGUCCUUCCUGCCGGCUAUUAACCCGCAGGCCUUCUUCCUCACUGAAAGUGCUUUACAACCCGAAGGCCUUCUUCACACACGCGGCAUGGCUGGAUCAGGGUUGCCCCCAUUGUCCAAUAUUCCCCACUGCUGCCUCCCGUAGGAGUCUGGGCCGUGUCUCAGUCCCAGUGUGGCUGAUCAUCCUCUCAGACCAGCUACGGAUCGUCGCCUUGGUGAGCCGUUACCUCACCAACCAGCUAAUCCGACAUAGGCUCAUCCGAUAGCGCGAGGCCCGAAGGUCCCCCGCUUUCCCCCGUAGGGCGUAUGCGGUAUUAGCCUGGGUUUCCCCAGGUUAUCCCCCACUACCGGGCAGAUUCCUAUGCAUUACUCACCCGUCCGCCGCUCGCCACCAGGGAGCAAGCUCCCCGUGCUGCCGCUCGACUUGCAUGUGUUAGGCCUGCCGCCAGCGUUCAAU
This 518-nucleotide ribosomal RNA is filed under the name uncultured bacterium. RNAcentral describes it as "partial 16S ribosomal RNA". The record is from RNAcentral.